Molecule: long non-coding RNA, 336 nt
Organism: Boleophthalmus pectinirostris (great blue-spotted mudskipper)
Lineage: Eukaryota; Metazoa; Chordata; Actinopteri; Gobiiformes; Gobiidae
Exons: 3
Source: RefSeq, a predicted model, not a curated record
CAGAGAUUUACAGACUCCAUCCCACAUCUCUGAGAUCCACUGGAUCCAAGAAGAGCUGCUGCAACAGUCCCACCAUCAUCAUCUGCCACCAGGACGGAAAGAUACUGAGCUUUGUCUAAUUGUCUCAAGAGAGAAGCUGCUCUGACAACAUCUGAUUCUUCUCUGUGCCUUUUCGGGGACAAGAGGGACUCAAGAUGCCAGAACCUACAAAGAAAGAUGAGGUGCCAAAUGGGCAACCUGAAGAAACGGUUGUCCCUGAAACUGUUUCCCCUGAAAGUGUUCCCUCCGAAAGUAAGGAUGCCCUGCCUUUACCUGAGAUUUCCUUGAAGGUUUCAC